AGAGUUUGAUCAUGGCUCAGAUUGAACGCUGGCGGCAGGCCUAACACAUGCAAGUCGAGCGGUAGCACAGAGAGCUUGCUCUCGGGUGACGAGCGGCGGACGGGUGAGUAAUGUCUGGGAAACUGCCUGAUGGAGGGGGAUAACUACUGGAAACGGUAGCUAAUACCGCAUAAUGUCGCAAGACCAAAGUGGGGGACCUUCGGGCCUCAUGCCAUCAGAUGUGCCCAGAUGGGAUUAGCUUGUAGGUGGGGUAACGGCUCACCUAGGCGACGAUCCCUAGCUGGUCUGAGAGGAUGACCAGCCACACUGGAACUGAGACACGGUCCAGACUCCUACGGGAGGCAGCAGUGGGGAAUAUUGCACAAUGGGCGCAAGCCUGAUGCAGCCAUGCCGCGUGUGUGAAGAAGGCCUUCGGGUUGUAAAGCACUUUCAGCGGGGAGGAAGGCGUUAAGGUUAAUAACCUUGGCGAUUGACGUUACCCGCAGAAGAAGCACCGGCUAACUCCGUGCCAGCAGCCGCGGUAAUACGGAGGGUGCAAGCGUUAAUCGGAAUUACUGGGCGUAAAGCGCACGCAGGCGGUCUGUCAAGUCGGAUGUGAAAUCCCCGGGCUCAACCUGGGAACUGCAUUCGAAACUGGCAGGCUAGAGUCUUGUAGAGGGGGGUAGAAUUCCAGGUGUAGCGGUGAAAUGCGUAGAGAUCUGGAGGAAUACCGGUGGCGAAGGCGGCCCCCUGGACAAAGACUGACGCUCAGGUGCGAAAGCGUGGGGAGCAAACAGGAUUAGAUACCCUGGUAGUCCACGCCGUAAACGAUGUCGAUUUGGAGGUUGUGCCCUUGAGGCGUGGCUUCCGGAGCUAACGCGUUAAAUCGACCGCCUGGGGAGUACGGCCGCAAGGUUAAAACUCAAAUGAAUUGACGGGGGCCCGCACAAGCGGUGGAGCAUGUGGUUUAAUUCGAUGCAACGCGAAGAACCUUACCUGGUCUUGACAUCCACAGAACUUAGCAGAGAUGCUUUGGUGCCUUCGGGAACUGUGAGACAGGUGCUGCAUGGCUGUCGUCAGCUCGUGUUGUGAAAUGUUGGGUUAAGUCCCGCAACGAGCGCAACCCUUAUCCUUUGUUGCCAGCGGUCCGGCCGGGAACUCAAAGGAGACUGCCAGUGAUAAACUGGAGGAAGGUGGG
Molecule: ribosomal RNA, 1177 nt
Filed under: Klebsiella pneumoniae
Lineage: Bacteria; Pseudomonadati; Pseudomonadota; Gammaproteobacteria; Enterobacterales; Enterobacteriaceae
Description: bacterial SSU rRNA
Rfam family: Bacterial small subunit ribosomal RNA
Source: RNAcentral